AUAUAUACCAACACAAUAUUCAAAAUUCCUGUAUUAUAUAUUUAGAUAAGUCAGUUUAAAAGAGGUGCUCCAGAAGGGUAUUAAAGCUGAUUCCUGUUUCAUAUGUUGCAUUCGUAAUAUUGCACAUGUAAGUUGAAGACCCUGUCGGGGCUCCAACAAUUGAACAUUUCCUUAGUUAUUUGUGAAACAGGUGUUCCAUAACUGUCAACAAAAAAGUGACGGUCUCUGUUCAUCUUUUUGUAUGGAUAACUUCAACUUUUUCACUGGUAGCCCUUGAUUUAAUACCUUCUUUGUAAGGAGAAGCUCUCUAACAUGGAAAUAAAACUAUUAUAGAAAACCAACGACCUGGAUGAUAGUAUUAUUUGGGAGAUAUAAACUCCAUAUGCAGGCACUGCUGGAUUGUUGCUACAUACAAAUGGGAAGUUCACAAUUGGAAUGCUAACAUUUCAACAACCAAAAUGUAAAUGUAAAAAGUAUUGUAACAUGUAGGUAGUCACAUGACAUGUGAAGACAUUUUGAAUACGGUAUACAACUUUAGUAUAUAGAUGUCCAUGAGCUUGUUCUCAGGAAAUAAUAAAUUAUGUUUUAUUUGAUUUUAUAGAUUUGAACUUUUAUUUACAAAUGGGUUGGUAAAUUUCGUUAUUAUGUCUGUAUGCAUUUUUUCGUAGCUUGACAAUACCAGGGAAAACUAGAGAGCAGAAUGAAAAUGGUUUAAUUUUGACCAUUGAAGAACUGUUUUGUUAAAGUAUUAAUUGCAUUUUUAAUUUGCCAUGCAU
This 776-nucleotide long non-coding RNA is filed under the name Mytilus galloprovincialis (Mediterranean mussel). Lineage: Eukaryota; Metazoa; Mollusca; Bivalvia; Mytilida; Mytilidae. The record is from RNAcentral.